Non-coding RNA from Trichonephila clavipes, 73 nucleotides. The record is from the annotation of a GenBank genome assembly. NCBI's taxonomy places the organism in Eukaryota, Metazoa, Arthropoda, Arachnida, Araneae, Nephilidae.
GUUUCUGUAGCGCAAUUGCUAGCGCGUUGGACUUCUAAUUCAAAGGUUGUGAGUUCGAAUCCCACCUGAGAUG